This 315-nucleotide ribosomal RNA is filed under the name uncultured organism. Its description in RNAcentral is "SSU rRNA". It matches the Rfam family "Eukaryotic small subunit ribosomal RNA", at positions 1140 to 1476 of the family's 1831-position model. The record is from RNAcentral.
AAACUUAAAGAAAUUGACGGAAGGGCACCACCAGGAGUGGAGCCUGCGGCUUAAUUUGACUCAACACGGGAAAUCUCACCCGGCCCGGACACCGCGAGGAUUGACAGACUGAGAGCUCUUUCUCGAUUCGGUGGGUGGUGGUGCAUGGCCGUUCUUAGUUGGUGGAGCGAUCUGUCUGGUUAAUUCCGAUAACGAACGAGACUCUGUCCUGCUAAAUAGUGUCUGCUUCUCUUUUGAGCAGACAAUUCUUCUUAGAGGGACUGGCGACUCUUAGUCGCACGAGAUUGAGCAAUAACAGGUCUGUGAUGCCCUUAG